CAGCUCACGCUAUGUGCUUUCUUCUUCUUCCUAAAAACCCUAAAUCUCUCAAUCGCUACAUUCUUCCUUCACGCAUGUUGUUCAUCCUCCUCCUUCUGCUUCAACUUCCCAUCUGACCUUGAUUCUAUCAACAAACCCUAAUGAACAAUAUACCCAAUCAGUCCAUCUCAACGCGAUUCUUCAUCUUUCGUCCAUCCCUUCUUCGUUGUGUUCUACUAUAUAUCACUAGCAGGUACGAUAUUUGAUUUUCCUCACAAAACCUCAUCAAAAAAUGAUCCCCUCUCUGAAACGGCGCUGUCGAGAUCUUAUCAAGUUUCGCCCCAAGAUGAUGUUCAACUACACCGGAAAUUUGAUACUUAGGUAUCUUCAUUAGGCAUCUUCAUCAUCAACACCGUUUCUACACAGGGUUUUUAGGGCUUAUUACAACAGGUGAAAUCUUGUGCUCGAUUUAUAAAGGUGAUUAUGAACUGACUUCAGCGGAUCAGCCAAUGUUCAUCCUUUGUUUGAUAUUGAAGACAAUCUCUUCUUUAACUCCAUUAUUUGUCAUGUUUUGAACAACAAGAUGGAUAAGGAUAAAGCAGCAGUAGUCUGACUAAAAUGGUAGUGAUUAUGUUUUGCCGCUUUUUAAUUUGAAAUUUCUGUUUGAUCUUUGCUCUGUUAAAACGAAUCAAUUUUGUUGUUUGUGAUAUAUUUUCAUUUCAUUUGUGAGAGAAGAAUAUUGUUCAUUAAAACGAGUUGUUGAUUGAUUUGAGUUGUUGCUGUGAAUUAUAGUGAAAUUAC
Molecule: long non-coding RNA, 780 nt
Organism: Helianthus annuus (common sunflower)
Lineage: Eukaryota; Viridiplantae; Streptophyta; Magnoliopsida; Asterales; Asteraceae
Exons: 6
Source: RefSeq, a predicted model, not a curated record